This is a long non-coding RNA of Struthio camelus australis, 2084 nucleotides long. NCBI's taxonomy places the organism in Eukaryota, Metazoa, Chordata, Aves, Struthioniformes, Struthionidae. The record is from Ensembl.
CCCCGCGGCGUCCCCGGGCUGCGUCCCGCUCGCCAGCGCAGAGCGCCGGGGCUCUGCCUGGCACCCGCACCUCAGCCGCACGCCGGAGAUACCAAGUCAAGAUGCAGUUUUAUUUACAGGGGCAGCCACAACCCACUAAUGGGAUACACAGACCUUACAACGGCUCAACUACCUGUACAGGAUGGAUUACGUAUGCAAAAAUAAAAGUCUCAAGCCCACGCAGUACAGUACGUCCCCCGUGCGACCGCUGGCGCCGGCCCUGCCGCAGGGGCAAGGACACGAACCCAAAGGGGCCGGGACACGUCCGACGCUGUCACAAACCAGCCCUCCCUGCGCCAGCCCCGUUAUCACCCUCUGUGGCUGGCCUUGCGCCAGUCCCUCGGACCCCAAAUUGUGGGCAAGGCUGGCGUGGCCGUCCCUGGGCCGAGGGGCUGUCACCCCCAGCCGUCCCCCGGUCGCCGUCCCCUCCCCAGCCGGGAAGCAGCAGUUGACAGGCCGGNNNNNNNNNNNNNNNNNGGGAGAGCUGCAGCCGGGUCCCCGAGCAGCCCUUUUGGCAAUGGACCUCCCCCCCCCAACAAUUUGGGGUGCCUGGGGCCAACGCCAGCACCGUCCAGAGGGAGCAGGGGUGUCCCAGGCCUCUGCGGGGCGCCCCUGCCUCCUGACCCCCCACCAUAGCAAUAUCCUUUAGCAGCAGUUUUAAAACAAAAGUGAACCUAGAAUUGAGAGCACCAUAAUUUGCAAGACCCAACUAAAGAACUGGCCAUGCUGCCUCCGCCGGGAGGGCACGGGGUGAGGACAGAUGGAGGACGGCUCCCCGCGGACGCUACGGCCCAAGUCCAGGUGUGAGACAGCCGGAGGGAUGGAGGGGGACGCGGCCAAGGGACGCAAGCUGAGCAAACCCCCGUCCCCGACAUGUGGCAAUGCCCAAGGGCACCCGGAUGUGCUCCUGCAUCUCCACGAUGGGAAAUAGCCAGAAGGGGGUUAAAACGAGGCUGCGAGAGGCACGGGGCUGGGGACCUGGAUCUGGCCAGAGGCAGCCCUGUGGCGCCGAGCGAGGGAGCAGAGGGACCGGUUCUCCCCGUGCCAGCACAGCGGGACCCCGGUCCCAGCACGGAGGCUACCCGGGGAGCCCUGUCCCUGCGGGCGCCCUUCAGCCCAAGCCCACAGGCCAUGCGGGGGGGACAAACAACAGCAAGAGCAAAAGCCACCACCCAAAGGACCUCCCCCCCUCAACUGCAGCAGCACGUCUCCAGACACACGAGGACGGGACAUAGACCUGCCUGGGGCCACCGGCCUGAGGACAAGGGGAGGGGAGGAAUCGGCCUCGAAGCUGGGCUGCGCGUCCCCCCUGUUGCUCUGCGGACGAGCGGGUACAGUGCGUUUUCCAGCCUAACCAGGCACCCCCAGCAGAUUGGGAUCUCCCUUCCCCCAAAUGGCAGGGUCCACCCGAGCAGCCCCCCCCAACCCGACACAGUCCCAGACGCCCCCCCACGAACAGCCCCAAAAACAAAGGAACUACCCCAAAGAAUGCAACAUGCAGAAACCCCUCCGGGACCCUCGGCCAGGGCAGCCGAGACGUGGGGCAAGCCCAGCGCAGGCCCCAAACGCCCACCAGCAUCCGAAUCCAGCUCAUUACAGCGGAUUCGGGGUUGGGGGUGGGUCCCUAUUUGUCUGCUCUGAGCAAGGAAAAGCUCCCCCAACGCGCUCACCCCAUCCUGAGCCAGCCCGACCAGCGAGCACCAGCCCGAGGCACCGAGGGCGGCACCAACUCUGGGCCAGGCACUGACCCCAAACUGAUGGGGCAAGAGGAAAUCUGCCCCAAACACCCACCCCACCAGCCUGGUCCAGACCUGCCCUGGAGACCCGAACCUGCCCCAGUUCCCCCUUCUCCAGCCGGGGGAAGGGGUGCUCUGGAGGAGUGAGCAUGGGAGGUGGUUGCAGCUGGUUUUUGGGUCAGUGGUACAAAGGGAAGGGGGUUUGUGCCCUCGUCUCUGAGCGAGACGCCCCCCCCUUAGAGCCCUGAUCAGACCCCCCACGUACAAAAACUACGUCACAGAAUAAAUAGAGGCACCGAGAGGGAGGCA